Molecule: unclassified non-coding RNA, 664 nt
Filed under: Dytiscus circumcinctus
Lineage: Eukaryota; Metazoa; Arthropoda; Insecta; Coleoptera; Dytiscidae
Description: partial contains 16S ribosomal RNA and tRNA-Leu
Rfam family: Bacterial large subunit ribosomal RNA (bases 359-517)
Source: RNAcentral
GGCCUGCCCACUGAAAUUUAAAUGGCCGCAGUAUUUUGACUGUGCAAAGGUAGCAUAAUCAUUAGUUUUUUAAUUAAAAGCUUGUAUGAAGGGUUGGACGAAGUAAAAUCUGUCUCUAUUUAAUUUAUAUUAAAAUUUAAUUUUUAAGUUAAAAAGCUUAAAUAUUAUUAAAAGACGAGAAGACCCUAUAGAUCUUUAUAUUUUAUUUAUUGAUUUUAAUAUAGAAAUUUUUAUUUUUUAAUAAUAAAAAUAUUUUAUUGGGGUAAUAAAAAGAUUAAUUAAAUUCUUUUUAAAAAAUUACAUUAAUUUAUGAUUAAGUGAUCCAAUUUUUUUGAUUAUAAGAUUAAGUUACCUUAGGGAUAACAGCGUAAUUUUUUUUGAGAGUUCAUAUCGAUAAAAAAGUUUGCGACCUCGAUGUUGGAUUAAAAAUUAUCUUAGGUGCAGAAGUUUAAGAUUUUGGUCUGUUCGACCAUUAAAUUUUUACAUGAUCUGAGUUCAGACCGGUGUAAGCCAGGUCGGUUUCUAUCUUUAAUUAAUUAUUAUAUUUUAGUACGAAAGGACCAAAUAUUUAAUAUAUAUAUAUUUAAUUUUUGAAUAUUAUUAAUUACUUUGGCAGAUUAGUGUGAUGAAUUUAGAAUUCAUUAAUGUAAAAUUUUUACAGGUA